AUUAAUAACCGGGGUCGGGAACCCCAUAUAAUUAAU
Regulatory RNA element from Sinomicrobium oceani, 36 nucleotides. It matches the Rfam family "S16-Flavobacteria ribosomal protein leader". Lineage: Bacteria; Pseudomonadati; Bacteroidota; Flavobacteriia; Flavobacteriales; Flavobacteriaceae. The record is from Rfam.